This is a non-coding RNA of Acanthosepion pharaonis, 101 nucleotides long. The record is from the annotation of a GenBank genome assembly. Lineage: Eukaryota; Metazoa; Mollusca; Cephalopoda; Sepiida; Sepiidae.
CAUUGAAACACCGGUUUCCCUACAACCACCGAAGUUAAGCAAAGUCGGGCCUAGUUAGUAUCUGGAUGAGUGACCGCUUCGGAAUACCAUGUGCUGUAAGC